RNAcentral lists this ribosomal RNA (498 nucleotides) under uncultured bacterium. Its description in RNAcentral is "partial 16S ribosomal RNA". It matches the Rfam family "Bacterial small subunit ribosomal RNA", at positions 30 to 523 of the family's 1533-position model. The record is from RNAcentral.
AUUGAACGCUGGCGGCAUGCCUUACACAUGCAAGUCGAACGGUAACAGGUCUUCGGAUGCUGACGAGUGGCGAACGGGUGAGUAAUACAUCGGAACGUGCCUAGUAGUGGGGGAUAACUACUCGAAAGAGUGGCUAAUACCGCAUGAGAUCUACGGAUGAAAGCAGGGGAUCGCAAGACCUUGUGCUACUAGAGCGGCCGAUGGCAGAUUAGGUAGUUGGUGGGAUAAAAGCUUACCAAGCCGACGAUCUGUAGCUGGUCUGAGAGGACGAUCAGCCACACGGGGACUGAGACACGGCCCAGACUCCUACGGGAGGCAACAGUGGGGAAUUUUGGACAAUGGGCGAAAGCCUGAUCCAGCAAUGCCGCGUGCAGGAUGAAGGCCUUCGGGUUGUAAACUGCUUUUGUACGGAGCGAAAAGCCCCGGGUUAAUACCCUGGGGUCAUGACGGUACCGUAAGAAUAAGCACCGGCUAACUACGUGCCAGCCGCCGCAGUAA